GAUGAACGCUAGCGGCAGGCCUAAUACAUGCAAGUCGAACGGGAUCCAGAUCAACGCUUGCUUUGGUCUGGUGAGAGUGGCGCACGGGUGCGUAACGCGUGAGCAACCUACCCUUGUCAGGGGGAUAGCCCGGCGAAAGUCGGAUUAAUACCGCAUGACAUCAUUGAGAGGCAUCUUUCGAUGAUCAAAGAUUUAUCGGACAAGGAUGGGCUCGCGUGACAUUAGCUAGUUGGUAAGGUAACGGCUUACCAAGGCUGCGAUGUCUAGGGGUUCUGAGAGGAGAAUCCCCCACACUGGUACUGAGCCACGGACCAGACUCCUACGGGAGGCAGCAGUAAGGAAUAUUGGUCAAUGGACGGAAGUCUGAACCAGCCGUGCCGCGUGCAGGAGGACGGCCCUAUGGGUUGUAAACUGCUUUUAUACGGGAACAAACGUCGGUACGUGUACCGGUCUGAGUGUACCGUAAGAAUAAGGAUCGGCUAACUCCGUG
RNAcentral lists this ribosomal RNA (490 nucleotides) under uncultured bacterium. RNAcentral's name for it is "partial 16S ribosomal RNA". It matches the Rfam family "Bacterial small subunit ribosomal RNA", at positions 28 to 507 of the family's 1533-position model. The record is from RNAcentral.